AUUUUAUUUUUAUAUUGUUUAUUUUUUUAUUAUUAUUUAUUUUUAUAAAAAUAAUUUGUUUAUUAGUAAUUUUUAUUGAAAUUUUUAUUUUUAACUAUAGUUCAUUUUACUGUGAAGGUUAUUUAUUAAUAUAGUAUAAGCAUACUUUUUUUGUAGUACCUUUUGUAUCAGGGUUUAUUAAUUUACAAUUAAUUAUUAUUAGUUUUCCCGAAAUUAAAAGAGUUAUAAAGUUAUUUAUGAUAGUUUACGUUUUAUAGUAAUUUUUAAUAUCUUUAUAGUGGUUAUAUGCUAUUCAAUUUUAAAUAUCUGGUUAUUUAAUAAAUUAAUUUAAUUAAGGUUAUUACAGGGCUGUUUUAUAAAUUUAUUUUUUGCAGUUGUAAUUACUAAAAUUGUAGGGGAUAAGCUCUGCAGUUAUUUUAUAACUUUAUUUUGUAAAAAUGUUUGUAGGCUUGACAACAGUCAUCAUUUAUUUCGUUACAGUUAAUCUUGUUUUUGUAUUUAUUUAUUUUGAGUUUAGAUUUUUAUUAAAUUGUUUUAUUUAUUUGUUUAUUAUAAGUAAUAAUGAUAAAAUUAGUAGUUUUGGAAUUUUAAGUAUAGGAAUUCGGCAAAUUUAAUGUUCGCCUGUUUAACAAAAACAUGUCCUUUAGAUUUAUUAAUUUAAGGUCUGACCUGCCCGGUGAUUUUUUUAACGGCCGCAGUAUUCUGACUGUGCGAAGGUAGCAUAAUCAUUUGUCUUUUAAUUGAAGGCUAGUAUGAAUGGUUGGACGAAUUAUUAACUUUCUUUAUUUGAAUUUUAUGAAUUUUAUUUUUGAGUUAAAAAGCUUAAAUUUGAUUAUAGGACGAGAAGACCCUAUAGAAUUUUAUUAAGGUUAUAUAUUUAUUGGUUUGGGUUUAAUGUGUUAUUAGGUGUAUAAUUUUAAUUUUGUUGGGGCGACAGUGAAAUUUAAUUAACUUUCAUUUUUAAUUUUUUCAUUAAUUAAUGUUUAUUUUGAUCCUUUAUUAUAGAUUAUAAGAUUAAAUUACCUUAGGGAUAACAGCGUAAUUUUUUCGGAGAGUUCUUAUCGAUGAAUAGAGUUUGCGACCUCGAUGUUGGAUUAAAGUUAGUUCUGGGUGUAGGGGCUUAUGAACUGAGUCUGUUCGACUUUUAAAUCUUUACAUGAUCUGAGUUCAGACCGGCGUGAGCCAGGUUGGUUUCUAUCCAUAAUGGAGAUAUUUAUAUUUUAGUACGAAAGGACCAAUUAUAAGUAAUAUUUAUAUAUGAUUGACUACUAUUAAUUU
This 1278-nucleotide ribosomal RNA is filed under the name Cloresmus pulchellus. RNAcentral's name for it is "16S ribosomal RNA". The stretch from base 832 to 1205 matches the Rfam family "Bacterial large subunit ribosomal RNA", at positions 2072 to 2648 of the family's 2925-position model. The record is from RNAcentral. Lineage: Eukaryota; Metazoa; Arthropoda; Insecta; Hemiptera; Coreidae.